Molecule: long non-coding RNA, 807 nt
Organism: Etheostoma cragini (Arkansas darter)
Lineage: Eukaryota; Metazoa; Chordata; Actinopteri; Perciformes; Percidae
Exons: 3
Source: RefSeq, a predicted model, not a curated record
CCUCCUGGGCACCAGACCCCCCCACUCUUGACAUUUUGUGUGUGUGUGUGUGAUGAUUACUAACAAAACAGAGUGUAAGUUGUAACUUAAUUCAGUAAAAAAAGCCUCUGACGGCCAUUUUCUUUUCCUUUUCCAGCAUUAACUUCAGCCACGACUCGUCCUUCCUGUGCGCCUCCAGCGAUAAAGGCACAGUUCACAUCUUCGCGCUCAAAGACACCAAACUCAACCGCCGCUCGGCGCUGGCCCGUGUUGGGAAGGUGGGCCCUGUGAUUGGUCAGUACGUGGACAGCCAGUGGUCAUUGGCCAGCUUCACCGUGCCGGCAGAGUGCGCCUGUAUCUGCGCCUUUGGAAAGAACACGUCCAAGAACGUCAACUCUGUCAUCGCCAUCUGCGUGGACGGGACCUUCCAUAAGUACGUGUUCACCCCGGACGGAAACUGCAACCGGGAAGCCUUCGACGUUUAUCUGGACAUCUGUGAUGACGACGACUUCUGAAGACAGAUUACAACUUACUGGAGGAAAGGGGGACGAGGGACGAGGAGAAAAGGGGACGAGGACAGCGCUGACGAAUGCAAACAACCGAGUUAUUGAUUAUUGUUGUUUGGGAAAAUGUCUCGAGACGGAGAAUCAGGAGACCGAGGCCGUUUUUUAACAGUGGUUGUGUCCACAGUACGUGGUGGUGUGAAUAUAAAUAUAAAAACACUUUUCUGUUAGCAUAUAUAUAUAUAUAUAUAUAUAUAUAUAUAUAAAGCCUGUACCAGUGUAAGUCAAACUGAAAUUAAAAUUCAUUUUUGAUAAGAAAUCAGUA